UACGGAGGAUCCGAGCGUUAUCCGGAUUUAUUGGGUUUAAAGGGUGCGCAGGCGGGAGAUUAAGUCGGCGGUGAAAUUUUGCAGCUCAACUGUAAAAGUGCCUUCGAAACUGGUUUCCUUGAGUGUAGAUGAGGUAGGCGGAAUUUGUGGUGUAGCGGUGAAAUGCUUAGAUAUCACGAGGAACUCCGAUUGCGCAGGCAGCUUACUAAACCACUACUGACGCUCAGGCACGAAGGCGUGGGGAUCAAACAGGAUUAGAUACCCGGGUAGUCCCU
This 275-nucleotide ribosomal RNA is filed under the name uncultured prokaryote. RNAcentral's name for it is "partial 16S ribosomal RNA". It matches the Rfam family "Bacterial small subunit ribosomal RNA", at positions 524 to 798 of the family's 1533-position model. The record is from RNAcentral.